This is a non-coding RNA of 98 nucleotides. It matches the Rfam family "Bacterial small signal recognition particle RNA". Rfam says of the family: The signal recognition particle (SRP) is a universally conserved ribonucleoprotein involved in the co-translational targeting of proteins to membranes. Archaeal SRP consists of a 7S RNA and homologues of the eukaryotic SRP19 and SRP54 proteins. In most bacteria, the SRP consists of a 4.5S RNA and the Ffh protein (a homologue of the eukaryotic SRP54 protein). The record is from Rfam.
UUUCGGGUCCCGCGCGUCCAAGGGCUCACGAACCCCGCCAGGGUAGAGAUACAGCAACGGUAGUGAGUUUGCGGAGUGUGCGGGGAAACUCGAAAGCC